AUUGAACGCUGGCGGCAGGCCUAACACAUGCAAGUCGAACGGUAACAGGAAGAAGCUUGCUUCUUUGCUGACGAGUGGCGGACGGGUGAGUAAUGUCUGGGAAACUGCCUGAUGGAGGGGGAUAACUACUGGAAACGGUAGCUAAUACCGCAUAACGUCGCAAGACCAAAGAGGGGGACCUUCGGACCUCUUGCCAUCGGAUGUGCCCAGAUGGGAUUAGCUAGUAGGUGGGGUAACGGCUCACCUAGGCGACGAUCCCUAGCUGGUCUGAGAGGAUGACCAGCCACACUGGAACUGAGACACGGUCCAGACUCCUACGGGAGGCGGCAGUGGGGAAUAUUGCACAAUGGGCGCAAGCCUGAUGCAGCCAUGCCGCGUGUAUGAAGAAGGCCUUCGGGUUGUAAAGUACUUUCAGCGGGGAGGAAGGGAGUAAAGUUAAUACCUUUGCUCAUUGACGUUACCCGCAGAAGAAGCACCGGCUAACUCCGUG
This 490-nucleotide ribosomal RNA is filed under the name uncultured bacterium. RNAcentral describes it as "partial 16S ribosomal RNA". It matches the Rfam family "Bacterial small subunit ribosomal RNA", at positions 30 to 507 of the family's 1533-position model. The record is from RNAcentral.